This 180-nucleotide non-coding RNA is filed under the name Mariprofundaceae bacterium. RNAcentral describes it as "6S RNA". It matches the Rfam family "6S / SsrS RNA". Rfam says of the family: E. coli 6S RNA was the first non coding RNA to be sequenced, but its function was unknown until recently. It consists of 184 nucleotides that fold into an extended hairpin structure with a large single-stranded internal bulge. The 6S RNA specifically associates with RNA polymerase holoenzyme containing the sigma70 specificity factor. Lineage: Bacteria; Pseudomonadati; Pseudomonadota; Candidatius Mariprofundia; Mariprofundales; Mariprofundaceae. The record is from RNAcentral.
GUGCCCCUGCGCUGAUCGAUUGGCAGCCAAAGUUGCCUGAGCCGAUAUGCGUCGAACGGGAGCCUACCUACGCUGAUUGUGUGCGUCCCCAUGAGCCGGGAUACCUGAUGUCAGAGUGCGGCGCCCACCUCCAUUGGAGGGUUCGACAACUUAUUGCCGAAUCGCCAGUGCGGGGGCGCU